GGCGGUGUAGCUCAGCUGGCUAGAGCGUUCGGUUCAGACCCGAGAGGUCGGGGGUUCGAUCCCCUUCGCCGCUA
RNAcentral lists this transfer RNA (74 nucleotides) under Streptococcaceae bacterium. RNAcentral's name for it is "tRNA-Leu". It matches the Rfam family "tRNA". From Rfam's summary of the family: Transfer RNA (tRNA) molecules are approximately 80 nucleotides in length. Their secondary structure includes four short double-helical elements and three loops (D, anti-codon, and T loops). The record is from RNAcentral. Lineage: Bacteria; Bacillati; Bacillota; Bacilli; Lactobacillales; Streptococcaceae.